UUUGAUCCUGGCGUCAGGAUGAACGCUAGCGGCAGGCCUAAUACAUGCAAGUCGGACGGUAAAAUCGACUUUCGGGUGGUUGAGAGUGGCGGACGGGUGCGCAACGCGUAUCGCAACCACCCCGACGGGCGCACAGCCGGUGGAAACGCCGGGUAAUGCGCCAUGCGCACUUGGGGGGCAGUCCCCUUGGGUGCAAAGCGGCGACGCGGUCGGGGACGGGCAUGCGUCCCAUUAGCUGGUUGGCGGGGCAACGGCCCACCAAGGCUACGAUGGUAGGGGAUCUGAGAGGACGGUCCCCCACACUGGUACUGAGACACGGACCAGACUCCUGCGGGAGGCAGCAGUAAGGGAUAUUGGGCAAUGGGGGAACCCUGACCCAGCCAUGCCGCGUGAGGUAGGAAGGCCCUACGGGUCGUAAGCCUCUUUUGUCCAGGGACAAGGACGCGCACGUGAUGCACGUUUGAGGGUACUGGAAGAAUAAGCGUCGGCUAACUCCGUGCC
Molecule: ribosomal RNA, 501 nt
Filed under: uncultured bacterium
Lineage: Bacteria
Description: bacterial SSU rRNA
Rfam family: Bacterial small subunit ribosomal RNA
Source: RNAcentral